This 475-nucleotide ribosomal RNA is filed under the name uncultured bacterium. Its description in RNAcentral is "bacterial SSU rRNA". It matches the Rfam family "Bacterial small subunit ribosomal RNA", at positions 29 to 507 of the family's 1533-position model. The record is from RNAcentral.
AUGAACGCUAGCGGCAGGCUUAACACAUGCAAGUCGAGGGGUAUAGUAGCAAUACUAGAGACCGGCGCACGGGUGCGUAACGCGUAUGCAAUCUACCUUUUGCAGGGGAAUAGCCCAGAGAAAUUUGGAUUAAUGCCCCAUAGUAUAGUGACUCGGCAUCGAGAUACUAUUAAAGUCACAACGGCAAAAGAUGAGCAUGCGUCCCAUUAGCUAGUUGGUAAGGUAACGGCUUACCAAGGCGACGAUGGGUAGGGGUCCUGAGAGGGAGAUCCCCCACACUGGUACUGAGACACGGACCAGACUCCUACGGGAGGCAGCAGUGAGGAAUAUUGGACAAUGGGCGCAAGCCUGAUCCAGCCAUGCCGCGUGCAGGAUGAAGCAUCUAUGGUGUGUAAACUGCUUUUGUACGAGAAGAAACACUCCAACGUGUUGGGGCUUGACGGUAUCGUAAGAAUAAGGAUCGGCUAACUCCGUG